CAUGUUUUUCAACAUUUUUCUUUAAUUCAUCUAG
This 34-nucleotide small RNA is filed under the name Staphylococcus aureus. RNAcentral's name for it is "3'UTR". The record is from RNAcentral. Lineage: Bacteria; Bacillati; Bacillota; Bacilli; Caryophanales; Staphylococcaceae.